UAGUCCACGCCGUAAACGAUGUCUACUUGGAGGUUGUGGCCUUGAGCCGUGGCUUUCGGAGCUAACGCGUUAAGUAGACCGCCUGGGGAGUACGGUCGCAAGAUUAGAACUCAAAUGAAUUGACGGGGGCCCGCACAAGCGGUGGAGCAUGUGGUUUAAUUCGAUGCAACGCGAAGAACCUUACCUACUCUUGACAUCCAGAGAAGCCAGCGGAGACGCAGGUGUGCCUUCGGGAACUCUGAGACAGGUGCUGCAUGGCUGUCGCCAGCUCGUGUUGUGAAAUGUUGGGUUAAGUCCCGCAACGAGCGCAACCCUUAUCCUUGUUUGCCAGCGAGUAAUGUCGGGAACUCCAGGGAGACUGCCGGUGAUAAACCGGAGGAAGGUGGGGACGACGUCAAGUCAGCAUGCCCCUUAUGUUCUGGGCUACACACGUGCUACAAUGGUUAGGACAAAGAGUCGCCAACUUGCAAAAGUGAGCUAAUCUCGUAAACCUAAUCUCAGUUCGGAUCG
This 510-nucleotide ribosomal RNA is filed under the name uncultured bacterium. RNAcentral's name for it is "bacterial SSU rRNA". It matches the Rfam family "Bacterial small subunit ribosomal RNA", at positions 791 to 1300 of the family's 1533-position model. The record is from RNAcentral.